GGGGGUGUAGUGUCAAUGGCAGCACAACGGUCUCCAAAACCGUUAGUUGGGGUUCAAAUCCCUACACCCCUG
This 72-nucleotide transfer RNA is filed under the name Candidatus Moraniibacteriota bacterium. RNAcentral's name for it is "tRNA-Trp". It matches the Rfam family "tRNA". Rfam says of the family: Transfer RNA (tRNA) molecules are approximately 80 nucleotides in length. Their secondary structure includes four short double-helical elements and three loops (D, anti-codon, and T loops). Lineage: Bacteria; Candidatus Moraniibacteriota. The record is from RNAcentral.